UUUCCCUUUUGGGGCUGGUAUACAGGUGGUGCAUGGUUGUCGUCAGCUCGUGUCGUGAGAUGUUGGGUUAAGUCCCGCAACGAGCGCAACCCUCGUUCUAUGUUGCCAGCACGUAAUGGUGGGGACUCAUAGGAGACUGCCGGGGUCAACUCGGAGGAAGGUGGGGAUGACGUCAAAUCAUCAUGCCCCUUAUGUCUUGGGCUUCACGCAUGCUACAAUGGCCGGUACAAAGGGUUGCGAUACUGUGAGGUUGAGCUAAUCCCAAAAAGCCGGUCUCAGUUCGGAUUGGGGUCUGCAACUCGACCCCAUGAAGUCGGAGUCGCUAGUAAUCGCAGAUCAGCAACGCUGCGGUGAAUACGUUCCCGGGCCUUGUACACACCGCCCGUCAAGUCACGAAAGUUGGUAACACCCGAAGCCGAUGGCCUAACCCCUUGUGGGAGGGAGUCGUCGAAG
RNAcentral lists this ribosomal RNA (453 nucleotides) under Rothia nasimurium. Its description in RNAcentral is "bacterial SSU rRNA". It matches the Rfam family "Bacterial small subunit ribosomal RNA", at positions 1013 to 1461 of the family's 1533-position model. The record is from RNAcentral. Lineage: Bacteria; Bacillati; Actinomycetota; Actinomycetes; Micrococcales; Micrococcaceae.